This 484-nucleotide ribosomal RNA is filed under the name uncultured bacterium. RNAcentral's name for it is "partial 16S ribosomal RNA". It matches the Rfam family "Bacterial small subunit ribosomal RNA", at positions 30 to 507 of the family's 1533-position model. The record is from RNAcentral.
AUUGAACGCUGGCGGCAGGCCUAACACAUGCAAGUCGAGCGGAUGAAGGGAGCUUGCUCCUGGAUUCAGCGGCGGACGGGUGGGUAAUGCCUAGGAAUCUGCCUGGUAGUGGGGGAUAACGUCCGGAAACGGGCGCUAAUACCGCAUACGUCCUGAGGGAGAAAGUGGGGGAUCUUCGGACCUCACGCUAUCAGAUGAGCCUAGGUCGGAUUAGCUAGUUGGUGGGGUAAAGGCCUACCAAGGCGACGAUCCGUAACUGGUCUGAGAGGAUGAUCAGUCACACUGGAACUGAGACACGGUCCAGACUCCUACGGGAGGCAGCAGUGGGGAAUAUUAGACAAUGGGCGAAAGCCUGAUCCAGCCAUGCCGCGUGUGUGAAGAAGGUCUUCGGAUUGUAAAGCACUUUAAGUUGGGAGGAAGGGCAGUAAGUUAAUACCUUGCUGUUUUGACGUUACCAACAGAAUAAGCACCGGCUAACUUCGUG